GGAGGGGCCAUGAUUCAGUGGUGGAGCAUCUGCUUGGCAUGCGGAAGGUCCCGGGUUCAAUCCCUGGCGUCUCCA
This 75-nucleotide transfer RNA is filed under the name Sphaerodactylus townsendi. RNAcentral's name for it is "tRNA-Ala". It matches the Rfam family "tRNA". Rfam says of the family: Transfer RNA (tRNA) molecules are approximately 80 nucleotides in length. Their secondary structure includes four short double-helical elements and three loops (D, anti-codon, and T loops). Further hydrogen bonds mediate the characteristic L-shaped molecular structure. tRNAs have two regions of fundamental functional importance: the anti-codon, which is responsible for specific mRNA codon recognition, and the 3' end, to which the tRNAs corresponding amino acid is attached (by aminoacyl-tRNA synthetases). tRNAs cope with the degeneracy of the genetic code in two manners: having more than one tRNA (with a specific anti-codon) for a particular amino acid; and 'wobble' base-pairing, i.e. permitting non-standard base-pairing at the 3rd anti-codon position. Lineage: Eukaryota; Metazoa; Chordata; Lepidosauria; Squamata; Sphaerodactylidae. The record is from RNAcentral.